RNAcentral lists this long non-coding RNA (2143 nucleotides) under Triticum aestivum (bread wheat). RNAcentral's name for it is "long non-coding RNA (TAES_LNC021771)". The record is from RNAcentral. Lineage: Eukaryota; Viridiplantae; Streptophyta; Magnoliopsida; Poales; Poaceae.
GUACCAGAAUUCCAAAUUGGAACAGUAUGUACGUUUUUUUUCUUUAUUACAAAGACAAAAAAAAGCAAGGGAUAUGCAUAGAAGAAAACAACUACUUUUGAGCCUCCAACCAUACUUAACUAGAAAUAAUGUCACAGUGGCUUAAUUAAUUAAGACACUCACUAUUGCUACAUAUCUACCUACUCAGUAGUCAGUACCCAAGACAGCUCCAACAGCACUUGGUUAAGAAUAUGUCUCAUGGGAAAUAUAAUCUCAUCAGCAUAACCUUCCCAAUUGCCUCCAAAGAAAACCACUCAUGUGUCUUGUAUCUCUAGAAUCUUGUACCUCUAUUUUUAGUGUUUCACUGCCAAAUAUUAAGAAUUCACGCCUGCAAAAAACAACAAAAAUUAGGAAUCUGCCAUCGGAAGUUAUUUCUCAAUGAACAACCUUGUCCUCCUCCAGUUUCUUUUUAUUUCUAGACUAGUUCCUGUUCAGCACUUCUGUUCCCAACAGAGGGGCCCGACCAACAAUACGAUAUGCACAGAAAUAUAAUUAUUCACUCUGGGGCGGCAUGGUUAGGAUAUAAUGCUAGUAGAUCAUGGCAAUGCCUGUUGUAGGAGGAGGCGGAUGGCACUACAAAGUGGAGUGUAGCAGGUAUGAGCUUUCUUGCGCAAAAGGUCUACAUGUGCAUGCCUGCUUGGAUGGAUGCCUUGAAAAGCGAUUGACAAGUUGUUAGGCUGAACCUACCGAUGUGCUGGGCUAAAUUUGCAGCUUAGACCACAUUUGCAUUUCCAGGUUUCGACUAGAUUAAGGAAAGUGCCACAUACACAGCAAGAUCCCGGGUUCGUGCCUUCCCCAAACGAGUACUUUUUUUUUCUUGGAAAAUAACUGAAACCAGUUCAGAUUGAAAUACUGAAAUCAUGGCUGUCAUGAGCGUUUGCUAUUAUUGAGAGCAUGCAUGGGCCGACCAACAAUAUUAUACUCCCUCCGUCUCAAAAUAAAUGUCUCAACUUUGUAUUAACUUUAGUACAAAGUUGUACUAAGCUUGAGACAUUUAUUUUGAGCCGGAGGGAGUAUCUAUCAAUGUUUUAAAUAGCCGGCUAUAGCUCCGCUAUAGCUCGGCUAUAGCCUUUUCAGCAGGGUGGCGCUAAAUGGUCGCCUUUAUAAAUAGCCCGCUAUAUCCCGUUAUAACUUCGCUAUAGCUGUUUUUGGAGGCCCGCUGCUAUUUCCUAUAGCCCGCUAUUUAAAACAUUGGUAUCUAUUUAAUAUUAAGGUUCUAUCCAUUAUCCAAUCAACUAAUACUUUAAUAAUACAUCAUCCAACGCCUGCUUUAUGAGGAGGUGGAUGCCAAGUGCAAAGCUUUAUUGUCAGGAUCUGUACCUGAAACCUGAAGAAUCAACAGUUAACUCUGAAGAAUGUAAGACACAGCCUGUUUUGUUACAGCACCAUGUACAGUUUACAUAUUCGCGCCGCUGGGCUAUCUCGCUGCUAUUGGGGAUGCAUCCGAUGGCUACCAGUUUCCUAAACAUCUCGGUUAACAUUUUCGACAACAGCUUUACUGCAAUUUAGAUUUACUUUUACCAUAUUCUUUUGCCUCUGGAUGUAAGCUUAAUGGGUUGGGUGCAGCACUGGGCAUCCCUCCUUGUAUUCAGUUAAAUCCUGGCCGCCCCUUGUACGGGUUGGGCCUCAACUUUGCUCUGUGAUCUUCUAAUCCAUCUCUCUAAAUCACUCCCAAACUUAUCUAUUUUCUUUGCCUAAAAAAAACUUUUCUCUGUGCUCUGAAAAUAACUCCCAAAGUUAUCUAUUUUCUCUGUGUUAUUGUCUGAAUCCUGCAACUAGCCUCUGAAAUUCAGUUGCAAAAAUACGGAACUGAAACCAUCUCAGAUUCAUUACCGAAAAGGGAGAACUCACAGGGAACACCGCGUCGCGGGGCAAGUACCAUCGUUCGCGCCUCCCCACCCUCCGUGCGCUGCACUGCGGCGACGACGACCGCCGUCGGCGACCAGCCGACCACAGGCUCCGCGAGGCACAAGGCCGCAGCAGCGGCCAGCGGAAGGAGGGCAAGGGAUGGUCCGUGGCCGCCGCCAUGGGUAGGUGUCCCUGCAGCCUCGUGGUUGGAGGACGAACCAACGAGAUUGGGGAUUGGUUUUUAGGCUGGUUGUAA